This 5752-nucleotide long non-coding RNA is filed under the name Sus scrofa (pig). RNAcentral describes it as "lncRNA (ENSSSCG00000059186.1)". Lineage: Eukaryota; Metazoa; Chordata; Mammalia; Artiodactyla; Suidae. The record is from RNAcentral.
UUUUUUUUUUUUUUUUUUUUUUUUUGCCAUUUCUUGGGCCGCUCCUGUGGCAUAUGGAGGUUCCCAGGCUAGGGGUCGAAUCGGAGCUGUAGCCGCUGGCCUACGCCAGAACCACAGCAACACAGGAUCCGAGCCGCGUCUUCGACCUACACCACAGCUCACGGCAACGCCGGAUCGUUAACCCACUGAGCAAGGCCAGGGACCGAACCCGCAACCUCAUGGUUCCUAGUCGGAUUCAUUAACCACUGCGCCACGACAGGAACUCCUCUUGGGAAUAUUCUUAAGCAUGGAAUUGUAGGGUCAUAUGGUAAUUCUACCUUGAAACUUUUGGAGAAACCAUCAAACUGUUUUCCACAGCAGCUGUACCAUUUUACAUUCCCACCAGUAUGAGGGUUCCAAUUUCUCCACAUCCCCACCAAUACCUGUUAUUAUCUUUUUUUUUUUUUUUUGUCUUUUUAGGGCCGCACCCGCAGCAUAUGGAGGUUCCCAGGCUAGGGGUCGAAUCGGAGCUACAGCUGCUGGCCUACACCACAGCCACAGCCAUGCCAGUUCUGAGCCGCGUCUGUGACCUACACCACAGCUCAUGGCAAUGCCGGAUCCUUAACCCACUGAGGAGGCCAGGAAUCGAACACACAUCCUCAUGGAUACUAGUUGUGUCCAUUUCCACUGAGCCACAGUGGGAACUCUCCUUUUGUCUACUUUUUAAUUGUGUUGGCUUUCUGUUAAAUUUUCAGAGUCCUUCAUAUCUACUCAGGAGGUUAAACCCUUACCAGAUAUAUGAUUUGAAAAUAUUCUCUCCCAUUCUGUAGGCUGUCUUUUUCACAAUCUUGAUAAUGUCCUUUGGUAGACAAUAUUUUCAAAAUGGUUAUGAAGUCCAAUUUAUACAUGGACUUUUGUUGCUCUUGUUCUGGGCGUCAAAAAUCUAAGAAUCCAUUGCCAAAUCUUAGGUCAUGAAGAUUUACCCUGUGUUGUCUUCUAAUCGUUUUUAGCCCUUGGAUUUAGGUUGUUGGUCUAUUUUGAGUUAAUUUUUGUGCAUGGUGCUGUACUGCAAUGGUUAGUUUUCUUAGGCUGAACCAUCCUUGUGUUCCCAGGGUAAAUUCCACUUGGUCACGGUGUAGAGUCCUCUCUCAGUGUGUUGCUGGAUACAGCUUGCUGGUAUUGUGUUGAGGAUACUGGUCUGUGGUUUUCUUUUCUUGUGGGAUCUUCGGCCCACUUUGGUGUCAGGGUAAUGUUGACCUUAUAGGAUGUGAUAUGAAGUGUUCCUUCCUCUUCUACUUUUUGAAAGAUUGUGAACAGGAUUAGUGUUAAAACCUGAAAUAUUUGGUAGAAUUCACUGAUGAACCCGAGCUGGGAGUUUUGAGUUGGGAGGUUUUGGCUUGUUGAUUCAAGCUCUUGUUACAGAUCUGUUCAAAAGAUCUUUUUCUUCUGGAGUCAGUUUUGGUAAUUUGCAUGUUUCUAGAAACUUCUCCAUUUCUUCAAGACCAUCUAAUUCAUUGGCAAAUAUAACUGUGUAUAGUGUUCUCUUAUAAUGCUUUUCAUUUCUGUAAGGUUGGUGGCAACAUCCCUGCUCUCAUUUCCAAUUUUAGCUGUGUGGGUUUUUUUUUAAUCCUUACUGAGUCUAGCUGAAGGUUUGUCCAUUUUGUGGAUCUUUUUAAAGAACCAACAAUUGGUUUUUAUUGAUUCUGUUUUUUUCCUAUUCUCUAUUACAUUUAUCUCUGCUUUAAGCUUAAUUCUUUCUUUCCUUUUUUUUUUUUUUUUUAUUUGGUCUUUUUGCCAUUUCUUGGGCCACUCCCACGGCAUACGGAGAUUCCCAGGCUAGGGGUCGAAUCGGAGUUGUAGCCACCGGCCUACGCCAGAGCCACAGCAACGUGGGAUCUGAGCUGCCACAGCUCACGGCAACGCCGGAUCCUUAACCCACUGAGCAAGGGCAGGGAUUGAACCCGCAACCUCAUGGUUCCUAGUCGGAUUCGUUAACCACUGCGCCACGACAGGAACUCCUCUUUCUUUGCUUCUGUUGGCUUUAAGGGUAGCCUACUCCUUUUUCUAGUUCCUCAGUGUGUAAAGUUAGGGUAUUGAUUUCAGAGAUGCCUUUUUAAUAUAGGUAUUUACAACUAUAAAUUUAACUCUGAAUGCUGCUUUCACUGUAUCCCAUAAAUUUGGGUAUUUUCUAAUUUCCCUAGCGAUUUCUUCUCUAGCCCUUUGGUUGUUUAAGUGUGUUGUUUCAUUUCCACGUGUUUACGGUCUUACCGGUUUUCCUUCUGUUUUUGAUUUCUAGCUUCAUUCAUUUGCUCAGAGCAGAUACCGUGAGUAAUUUCAAUCUUUUAAAAUUUAUUGAUAAUUGUCUGACGGCCUAAGAUAUGAUCUAUCCUGGAGAAUGUUCCAUCUACACUUGAGAAGAAUCUGUGUUCUCUUGUCAUGUAGCGUAUCCUGUGUAUGCCUUUUAGGUGUUACUCGAGCCUUCUGUUCCUUACAGAUGUAUUGUCUGUUUUAUCCAUUACUUAAACUGGGAUAUAGAAGUCUCCACCUAUUAUUGUAGAACUGUCCAUUUCUCUUUUCAACUUUGUCAACAUUUCCUUCAUAUUUUAUGGAGCUCUGUUGUUUUGUGUGUGUGUAUGUGUGUGUGUGUAUAAAUAUAUAUAUAAUUGUUGUAUCUUCUUGAUGAAUUGAUCCUUUUAUCAGUAAAAUGCCCUUGUCUCUCGUAACAGUUUUUCACUUAAAAUCUCCUUCGCCCGGUAUUAUAUAACCAUCUCCACUUUCCUUUGGCUAUUUGCAUUAAAUAUCGUUUUCCAUCCUUUCGCUUUCAACCUAUUUGUCUUUGGAUCUAAAUUGAGUCUCUUAUAAGCAGCAUCUAGCUAGAGCAUGUCUUUUUAAAAUCCACUUGGCUAGUAUCUAUCUUUUAAUUGGUGAGUUUAACCCGUUUACAUUUAAAGUGAUUACUGAUGAAGAAAUUUUUUUUCCUGCCACUGUGCUAUUUGUUUUCUACGUGUCAUAUCUCUUAUGUGCUUCAAUUCCUCCAAUACAGCCUUCAUUUGUGUUUGAUGGAUUUUUUUCCUAGUGUACCACGUUGAUUCCAUCUUCAUUUCCUUUUCUGUAUCUUAUUUUCUUAGUGGUUACCAUGGAGAUAGAGUUAACAUUCUCAAUUUAUAACAAUCUAGUUUGAUCUAUUUUUCUUUUCCUUUUAAAAAGACUGUAAUUUUAGAGCAGUUUUAGGUUCACAGCAAAGUUGAGCAGAAAGUACAGAGAAUUCCCAUAUACUCCCUGCCCCGCCUCCUCCACCUCACGCACACAGAGCCUCUCGUGUUAUCAACAUCCUACACCACAGUGGUCCAUUUGUUUCAACUGAUGAACCUACACUGAUACCAAAGUCCAGAGUUUACAUUAAGGUUCAUUCUUGAUGCUGUACAGUCUAUGGGUUUUGGUAAAUGUCUAAUGAAAUGUAUCUACCAUUGUAGUAUCACACAGAGAAGUUUCACUGCCCUAAAAACCCCGUUUCGCCUCUUCAUUCCCCCACCUCCAACUCCUGGUAACUACUAAUCUUGAUCACCCCUUUUAAAUAAUCAUAAUAGUCAACAUUUAUUGAGUGCAGACUUUGCAAUAAGGAUCGUGUCAGACACUUUUCAACAGCCUUAUGCAUUUCCCAUUUUCCAGAACCCAGAUCAAAGAAGUCAUCAGUCAUCCAAAGCCACCUAGCUACAAAGGGGCAGAGCUAGCAUUCAAACGGAGCUUGUCAGGCUCCAGAGACAGCUUUUUAUCAUUCGCUCCGCUGUCUUAAUGAAGAUGAAGAUGAUGGUGACGAUGGCGGUGGGAAUGGCAGCAGUGAUGGCAUCUAACAUUCAUGGAAGGAGUGCUUACGAUGGGUCAGGCACUGUGCCGGGUGCCUCAUCUAUCCAAUCUUGACACUUGUGCUGUGAAGGAGGAAUUACUACUGCUAUCGCCAUGUUAUAGAUGAGCAAACUGAGGCUCAGGUAAAAGAACCAUCUCCCUCAAAUGCACAGAACCUACUAAAGAGAGGCUGGUCACUAUGGCUGAAGACUUCAUUUUGACUACCCACCAUCUCUCUCUAGGGCUGAAGACGGCCAAGACACAGGACAAGGUCUUUGCCUGGAAAUGGCUUGGUUUUGGUUUUGGAAGUUCCAAACCCAGAGACUUCGACCUGAUGUUACCAGACUCUCUUUCACAAGAACACAUGGGGUCUGGCGGCACUGCUCUCCCACGGCGCAGGGGAGACUCGGCCCUUGGCGCUGCGGCUUCUUACUGCCUUUCUCAUCAUGGGAGGACAGCCCCAGCCUCUGGGUACACAACCAGGGCUCAGAAAUAGCCCCCUAAUCGGCCUCAUCAGCUUUGAAGGAGGCCACUGCAGGAGGGGCCUAAGUAGGCCAACACUUUAACCCAGUUACAUGAGGGCAGCUGUAAUCCGGGCUGAUCAUGUCUUGCUAAGCUCUCUCGGGGGGUGGGAAAAAUGUCCAAAAACUACUUCCUGUGCCCACGUAUCCCUGGGUCUCACGGUGGACACUCCUUCUCCUUCUGGAAGAGCUUGGCCUCAAGGCGACAAGGGCCGAGCUUAAUUAGAGUGGCGGCCAGGACUGAGGGAAGGUUGGUGGCGAUUUCCAAGGGCAGUGGAUGGCCAUGGCUUAGGCUCCCCUAGGUGCUGCCAAGGUGCCGCUUUUCCUUGAAAGGUCUGCUGCCUGACCCUUCUGCUACCUUGACUGGCCCUGGGAGUUCCCUGGGGAAGCGGGCUGAGCUGCCUGGCCAGGCUGUGGUUGGGAAAGAAACCCGAGCUGUUGGGGGGCGGUUGGCCUGGCUUGUCUGGCUCCCUCCCUGUCAGCUGGCAUGGUGGGCUCCCCUAGGCAGGUGCACUUGGCCUCCUCUCUCUCCCGGCCCCCAAAACAUUUGCCCCCCCAGGGACGGUUCAACAAAGUGGGCUUCCCGUGGUCAGGAAGCAGAAAGCUUGCCUGGCCUGGGUGGAUGCUGGCAGGGAAGAAAGAGAGCGGGGAGUGUCAGGAGACUCUCCGCUAAAAGUUGGUUUCCAAGUUUUCCCAAAUGGCUUUUCUCUACCGGGAAGGUGACUCUCACGAGGAAGAGGAAGAAGAAUCAAAAUUAUGACAGCGCUUCAGUGAUUCUAAGACCCCUGAGAUUGUACCGCUGAAAGAAAAAUAAGUGGCCGAUUCAACAGUGUCACGCCAUCGACGGUCCGGUGCAUCCCAAAUUUGGAGACAUUCAAAUGCUUUGUUCAGAAAGUGUCUCAAGAGUCCAUGAAAUAUCAGAGAACGCCUUAAAACUGAGGUACCACCUCUCUUUCACACCGCACCGACCCGCCGAAAUACAUAGGGCACAGGAAGGCACAGUGGACAAGUGUAGUCAAGACCCAAACCGACUUGUAUGCUCCGAGAAGCAGCCUGGAAACCACACUGUCUGCAAAGGGACCCCCUUACAUCAGACAGGACUUUGCAGUUUAUAAAGCCCUCUCACACCCAGGAUCUCGCUGACGUCUCCCAGCUGCCCUGGAGUUCAGAGAGGUCUGACUUUGACAGGAAUACCCAGGACCUAAGAGUGGACAGAGAGCUGGGACUACAGGCCCAACCGCUGAGUCCUACCACCAGGCUUUCCCAGUGACUACACGGGACAACCACUCUGCCAGAGAGGGUGGAGACAGAACUAGCGAGGGUGUGAUUAAGUGGCUUUUAAACCCUUUUUGCAAUGAAAUUAUUUGCAGAACCUCAAAGUACAAAGUGGAAUAAAAUUGGAUUUGUUC